This 515-nucleotide long non-coding RNA is filed under the name Panax ginseng (ginseng). Its description in RNAcentral is "long non-coding RNA (PGIN_LNC017123)". Lineage: Eukaryota; Viridiplantae; Streptophyta; Magnoliopsida; Apiales; Araliaceae. The record is from RNAcentral.
UGACCUCUCUCUAGACACUAGACAUUACAUUCCUCCAUUGUUAACCUUGUGAACACAUAUACUGACUCUCACGCCUGAGCUAUUCCCCGACGGAACAGCCAUCAAGCUUGUGGUGUUUACCGUGUUUACUGUGCAGGAUCAGGGCGUCUUACGUGAUUGGGACGUGGCAGAAGAUCUUGGCGUUAACAUUGGCGCUAGAAGGAGGGCUUUUGAGUUCUAGUGUCAUUGAAACUUUCAAUCACAAUCGUUUAACCUACUUCGGAAGAUGAUGAGGAGUAGGGAUGGUACGCCAGAAGGGCAGGCGAUGGUUGUUAGCUCGUCACUGCUUCGUGUUUCGGUAAAGGAUCGUCUGGGUCCUUCUAAAAGUGCUCAUGAGAGCACGGCCUCUAAGCAUAAUUCAGGAGAUCUCCGUCCGAAGAUCCAUGGUGGGGCCAGACGAAGAUUGGUUUUCGGUGCGGAUAAGGAGCGUGAUCAUGGUCAAGGGCAGGCAGAAGGCUCACCGACCAAGACUUAUC